GCGCCUGAAGCAAACCGGGCACGCUGGUCCCUGCUUGCGGAGCGCUCUGCGGAAGGGCUGCGCAGAGGUGCGGUACCCCGCGCGUUUCCCCUUACUUCAGCCCGCAGGCCCUGUCCUCCUCCCGCGCGCCUCGCCCCCCUCAGCAGCGGGAGGCGGGUCCGGAGGAGCCGCGCCCGCCCGGGGCGGACAGCUGCUGGGAGCCGCACGCAGCCACCGCGGGGCGGGCCUGCGAGUGCGGCGCUGGGCCGGGCAGGGCUGGGCCGCGCCGCGGCUGUCUCUGAGGCGCGGGGGAUGGACGAGGGUCACCGCGGCGGGCACAGGCGACGGGCGGCUCAGGGCCAGUUCCAAGCGAAGCAGUCAAAUAAAACUUGGAAUGAUUUCUCAUCGGCUGAGGAAAGGAAGGUGGUUCUGAAUCAAUGGCAGGUACGUGUGAGGCUGCCAAAUUAAGUACCUGAUUGCACAGAGCAUGUCUGCUACCCAGCUGGCCUGGGUGAUGUGCCCAACUGCCUGUUGUUGGAGAGGGAAUGGGAAUUCUUACAGUUUCUUGAUCUCAUUACCUGUGCGUGGUGAGGAAAUGUGCUUUCUUAUUUCUCGAUUCUUCAGCUUUUUGUAGGCAGGAGUCCUCUCUUACGAUUUAGAAUUUUAGCUGUUUUGAUUAGCAGUGAUUUCUUUCUUCCUAUUGAUAGAAGACUGACAAAGUUUUGUUGGUGUUUUGGGUUUNUGUAGAUAUUCUGGACUGCACGUCAGAGAAAACAGAGAAAAAGGGCCAUAGUGAUUUUGGAGUUAAAAUCCCAUUUUCUGACAAGCUGAUUUUUUUCCACAUCAGAACUAGGAUUUAGGCCAGAAUCUGUGAGAAACAGAUGCCUGCUUCAUGCCAGCAAUGCAAUUGUCACUGAGAUUUAAUGAGUUUGUUACUUCGCUUAUGUGGUAUGGCUUUUGUUGUGUUUUAGGUUUUUUGAUUGUUUCUUCUGAAAGAUCUGAUAGUUUUCUGGUUAAUUGGAGUAAUGGUCUUUGUGCACGUGUUCAUAGAAUUUGCUCCUGUCACUGCUAGGGUAGAUGAGGCAUCUCUUCUAUCAUCUCUUUGUAAGGCAAAAGCACCUAUAGCUCAAGGUUCUACAAUUAAAAUACUCCCAGGUAAACGGGUAUAGAGGAGUUCAAUGUCUGGAACUGUUACACUGGGCAGAGGACAAGGAGAAUAACUUGGUAUUUCAGAACUCAGUGAACCGGAUUGGCAGCCAGUGGUCCAAUGAGUAUCAAGGAUGGGUUAUGGCUUCACAGCACAAUAGGCAGUUUUUCUAAUGCUACUACAUUUUAAGGCUAUUUCAAGGUAAGCAGAGCUGAGACCGGGAGGAGCACAGAUUGGGGUAAUUUAUAGGUAUGCAGUUAUGAAAGCUAUGCGUGUUUUUGCACUCACUGUAAUUUUCCAUUAUCUUGUGGCACUGGGUAAUGUCGCUUACACCUAUGGAAAGUUUAAAACACACUAAUUCUUCCUACUAUAACAUUCACGUCCACUUUGUGCCAGAGUAGUGAGCAUUUUCCUUUGGAAAAUUUUUAUAUGCUUUUGUUGUGUUCACAAGGACUUGUUCCUUGUGUUACUUUAUAUGCAAAUUAAAUGUAAAUGCUUUUGAUUUGUAUUUGCAUGAGAAGUAACACAUUCUGGGUUUCUGAUUUAGAAUAAAUUUGUGAAGAUACCGGUGAGUCUGUGAAUUAAUGAAGAAAGCACAGCAGAUUAUUUCAUGAA
Molecule: long non-coding RNA, 1741 nt
Filed under: Pavo cristatus (Indian peafowl)
Lineage: Eukaryota; Metazoa; Chordata; Aves; Galliformes; Phasianidae
Description: lncRNA (ENSPSTG00000012522.1)
Source: RNAcentral